This 1314-nucleotide long non-coding RNA is filed under the name Oreochromis niloticus (Nile tilapia). RNAcentral's name for it is "lncRNA (ENSONIG00000034047.1)". The record is from RNAcentral. Lineage: Eukaryota; Metazoa; Chordata; Actinopteri; Cichliformes; Cichlidae.
GGAAAGUCAGAUAUCCCAGUUUAACACUGGGACAUGAACGCAUCUUAAGUUUGCGGAUGUCGGUGAAGCUGGCAGUGUGAAAUGUGUCUCAAAAUUAUACACAUUUGUAAAUCAUAUCGUACGUGCACUUGCAACUGUUUUGAGGUUUUUCUCCAUAUAUAAAUAGUGACUGUAAAUGUAAGUUUAAAUCGUCUUACCUGUAAAACCUGCCGUCAUUGCCGGAAGUCAGUGUUUGGGCGCACACUUUAAUAACUGGGAGUGGGCGGGGGGGUUUCGGUGUAACUGAAAAGUAAAGUUUUACUUUCCUGUGUGGGACAUCAUCUGCUGUCUAGUCAGCAACAGAGGAAGAGUAUAUUUUCAGUUUUGAAAAAUAAAUGGAGAGGAAAAGAUCUGCGGAAGGGGAAGACCAAGAAGGCUGUGGAUUAAGGAAAAGAUGGAAGGCUGAAUAUAAUGAACCUUCUGAUGAUGAAGACGAGAAGGAGGAGGAGGAUCAAAAAACUUGGAGGACAGAAGGAAAACAGCUUUUGCCUGUAAUCUGUGGAACCACAGAGGGCAUCCUUGAUUGUGAGAAGCUGGAACAAGGUAAGUAAAUACAAUUAUCUGAGAAGCAUAAGCACAUUUCAUGGAAACCAUUAAACAAGAAAACACUUUAUACUCUUUGAAACUGUGCCCACAAAUAAAAAUCAUGUAUAUAAAAAAAUGGAACUUGACUUCAAUGAUCUGUAGUCAUCAGUUUCUCUCCAGCUGAAUCAAUGCAUGAUAGAUUAUGCAUUGGUGAUUCUGAAUUGCCUUCCCCCCAUCUCAUGAAAGCUGGGAAACCUUAUAGCAAUAAGGUUUCCCAUCAGUCAUUUGGGAAAAGUAAAUACAAACCUACAUUAAAAAAAAAUCUCUAAACCUUGGCUUGGAUUGCAGAUCAGGUGCGAAUGUUUUGAACAUCUUUAAGAAUUGAGAAAAAAAUAAAGAGAAAGCAUUUUCCUUUUGUUGUUCAAAUCUACAAUUUAAACAAUGUGCACUGUUUUAAAGAGGAUCAAAUGUUAACUUGUCAGAAGUUAACUUUAUUUUUAAGUGUUCUUUUCUACUGUCAUUUCAAUUUUCCUGUGUGUUUGGAUGAUCAAUUUAGGUAAGGCGUGUAUUGUGUAUGAAGGCAAAUGGUGUAAGCCCUCUAGGUUUGAGAAACUUGCAGGGAAAAGAUUGUGUAAAAAAUGGAAAGCAACUAUUUUCUAUGAUGAUCAACCUCUGGAGUAUUGGAUUAAGGUACUUUUUUUUCUUUGCAUUUCUAUUAAUCAAAGAAAAUCAGAUUUCACUAAAUAAACU